GCUGCUUCCGCGCCCCCGCCCACCCGGUUCCCUUCCUACUGGCUACACCGGGCAGAGGAGGGAGCAGUCCGCUCCCAAGUCCCUCCCUCCCCAUUGGUCAAACUGUGGGCCGCGCGCCCCCCCUCUAUUGGCUACAGCCGGGGACCCCUUCUUGCAGCUUACUCCCCAUUGGCUGGAACCGGGGACCGCGAGAUCCUUCGUGGCAUGAAUUACGGGGCUUGGAUGAAAGCAGCCGGCACCGGGAGAGGGGCUUUGGCGCCCCACCGAAGUGGAGCAUUCAGAGGAGCGGGCGCGCCGGCAGGAGCCACGGUGCCAGGGAGCACCCGGAGAGCCACGAUGCUAGUUGUGCCGGAGAGGCACAGUAGAGAGUCCAACCCAGGAAGCUGGUGCAGGCUGAGCAAGCUGCUGACAGAGGAGGACAAUGCGACCGGAGAUGCUGGAACUCAAGGCUGCCGGGAGUGGAGGUGGACGGAAGGUCCUUGCUAUGGGCAACGCGUGUGCCGAAGACCACCGAGACUGGCCCUACGCUGUAUGCCGGGACAAAACGAGACGGGGUUUCUCCAUAGCUUUGGAGGCUGUCCUGGAACCACGAGGUGCAAGUGAAGAGCAAGAGGGACGAGGGUCCUCGAGCCGCAAGGCCAAAGAUAACGCUGUGUGUCCUCCAAUAGUGUGUGGUCUGGGCUGGUCCUGAACCGAGUCAUGCGACCUAGUGCUGAGAUUUUACGUGUUCGGGAGACUGGCAGGUGUCCUGGUAACGUGAAAGACUCAUCAGACAGGACAAAGGCUAUGUUGCUCAUAUGUAUAUGUGUUAGGAGAAGGAGGGGGAAGCCCCAAAGUGUAACCCUUUUCAGUAGUGUCGUAUCCGAGUCACCACAACGUAAUGUGAGGAGUGGGUGUGAACAAAGUCACCAAAACAGAUAACCUAGGACUAAGGAAUUUGCUGGAAGAGUCAUUGAAACCAUGCCGUGUGGGUAACAACAUGGUACAGGCUCUGCAGAGAGUCCAGGCCUCAUCACCAGAGGCAGAGAGCCUGUGUGGAGAAAUGGAAGUCUUUUUUGGGGUGGGUGGGGUUGGAGGGGUUUGAGAUAGGGUUUCUCUGUGGCUUUAGAAGCUGUCCUGUAUCUUGCUCUUGUAGACCAGGCUGGUCUCGAACUCACAGAGAUCUGCCUGCUUCUGCCUCCUGAGUGCCUGACAGAAAUGGAAGUCUUGUAUAGCUCCCUGGUGGUAAGUUUACAGUAAGCGCUGAGGCCAGGCUCUCUGAUCGCCAGGUGGGAUGCAGGUAAGAAGGCAGGGCACACAACAUGGCACUUCUUUGGUGUAAACUCACUAUCCAGAUAGUGAUCAUGGCUAGGCAGGGAGUCACAAUGUCUUAGACGUUUGUGGGUAUCUGCCAGAGAGGGAGAGCCGCUACAAAGCUGCAGCUAGAUUCUCAUACAGGACACUAAUCUGUCUACUUGUUGUGGUAUGCCAUGGGAGAGCCAUUAGCAGUAAGAAAGUGUCUCUGUCUUAGCCAGCGUUCCAUGGCUGUGAAGAGACACCGUGACUACUGCAACUCUUAUAGAAUAAAGCAUGUGAUGGGCUGGCUCACA
Molecule: long non-coding RNA, 1589 nt
Organism: Mesocricetus auratus (golden hamster)
Lineage: Eukaryota; Metazoa; Chordata; Mammalia; Rodentia; Cricetidae
Exons: 2
Source: RefSeq, a predicted model, not a curated record